GUAAAUAUAGUUUAAAAAAAAACAUUUGAUUGUGGCUCCAAAGACAGGGGUUAAAGUCCCCUUAUUUACC
Molecule: transfer RNA, 70 nt
Filed under: Pampus punctatissimus
Lineage: Eukaryota; Metazoa; Chordata; Actinopteri; Scombriformes; Stromateidae
Also listed under: 1 other name
Description: tRNA-His
Rfam family: tRNA
About the family: Transfer RNA (tRNA) molecules are approximately 80 nucleotides in length. Their secondary structure includes four short double-helical elements and three loops (D, anti-codon, and T loops).
Source: RNAcentral